GAGGGUAUAGCUUAGUGGUAGAAUGUGUGCUUGGCAUGCACAGGGUCCUGGGUUCAAUCCCCAGUACCUCCA
This 72-nucleotide transfer RNA is filed under the name Camelus bactrianus (Bactrian camel). It matches the Rfam family "tRNA". Rfam says of the family: Transfer RNA (tRNA) molecules are approximately 80 nucleotides in length. Their secondary structure includes four short double-helical elements and three loops (D, anti-codon, and T loops). Further hydrogen bonds mediate the characteristic L-shaped molecular structure. tRNAs have two regions of fundamental functional importance: the anti-codon, which is responsible for specific mRNA codon recognition, and the 3' end, to which the tRNAs corresponding amino acid is attached (by aminoacyl-tRNA synthetases). tRNAs cope with the degeneracy of the genetic code in two manners: having more than one tRNA (with a specific anti-codon) for a particular amino acid; and 'wobble' base-pairing, i.e. permitting non-standard base-pairing at the 3rd anti-codon position. RNAcentral also lists the same sequence under 2 other names. Lineage: Eukaryota; Metazoa; Chordata; Mammalia; Artiodactyla; Camelidae. The record is from Rfam by way of RNAcentral.